This 426-nucleotide ribosomal RNA is filed under the name uncultured phototrophic eukaryote. RNAcentral's name for it is "bacterial SSU rRNA". It matches the Rfam family "Bacterial small subunit ribosomal RNA", at positions 356 to 795 of the family's 1533-position model. The record is from RNAcentral.
GGGGAAUUUUCCGCAAUGGGCGAAAGCCUGACGGAGCAAUACCGCGUGAAGGAAGACGGCCUAUGGGUUGUAAACUUCUUUUUUCAGGGAGGAACUCAAUGACGUGUACCUGAAGAAUAAGCAUCGGCUAACUCCGUGCCAGCAGCCGCGGUAAGACGGAGGAUGCAAGUGUUAUCCGGAAUCACUGGGCGUAAAGCGUCUGUAGGUGGUUUAGUAAGUCGACUGUUAAAUCUUGAGGCUCAACCUCAAAAUCGCAUUCGAAACUACUAGACUAGAGUAUAGUAGAGGUAAAGGGAAUUUCCAGUGGAGCGGUGAAAUGCGUAGAUAUUGGAGCGAACACCGAUGGCGAAAGCACUUUACUGGGCUAUUACUAACACUCAGAGACGAAAGCUAGGGUAGCAAAAGGGAUUAGAUACCCCAGUAGUC